RNAcentral lists this transfer RNA (76 nucleotides) under Nitratireductor sp. RNAcentral describes it as "tRNA-Phe". It matches the Rfam family "tRNA". Rfam says of the family: Transfer RNA (tRNA) molecules are approximately 80 nucleotides in length. Lineage: Bacteria; Pseudomonadati; Pseudomonadota; Alphaproteobacteria; Hyphomicrobiales; Phyllobacteriaceae. The record is from RNAcentral.
GCCUAGGUAGCUCAGUUCUUAUAGCAGCUGAUUGAAAAUCCGCGUGUCGGUGGUUCGAAUCCGCCCCUGGGCACCA